RNAcentral lists this ribosomal RNA (116 nucleotides) under Pteropus alecto (black flying fox). The record is from RNAcentral. Lineage: Eukaryota; Metazoa; Chordata; Mammalia; Chiroptera; Pteropodidae.
GUCUAUGGCCAUGCCACCCUGAACAAGCCCAAUGUCUGAUCUUAGAAUCUAAGCAGGGUCAGGCCUGGUUAGUACUUGGAUGGGAGACCACCUAGGAAGACCAGGUGCUAUAGGCA